RNAcentral lists this ribosomal RNA (253 nucleotides) under uncultured bacterium. RNAcentral's name for it is "partial 16S ribosomal RNA". It matches the Rfam family "Bacterial small subunit ribosomal RNA", at positions 524 to 776 of the family's 1533-position model. The record is from RNAcentral.
UACGUAGGGGGCUAGCGUUGUCCGGAAUCAUUGGGCGUAAAGAGCGUGUAGGCGGCUCGAUAAGUCCGCUGUGAAAGUCCAGGGCUCAACCCUGGGAUGCCGGUGGAUACUGUCGGGCUCGAGUCCGGAAGAGGCGAGUGGAACUCCAGGUGUAGCGGUGAAAUGCGCAGAUAUCAGGAGGAACACCAAUGGCGAAGGCAGCUCGCUGGGACGUGACUGACGCUGAGACGCGAAAGCGUGGGGAGCAAACAGG